UGUAUAUAUGAGUGUAAUUCUUAUAGUUUUGAUUUUCUCUUACUAAUGUGUUUUAUAUAUUCAAAAUUAAGUUUAGAAGGAAUAUAAAAUGUAAAUAUCCAAAUUUAACUCCAACAAUCAAAAGGCCUAUUUUUAUUUCAUUUUGGUAGGAUCUAUACAGAGAAUAUAAUUAUUCCAAUGAAUGUUGAAUAUAAUACUCCAUUUGUACUUCCUUAAUAGGAUACAUUCUAAGGACGAAAAGAACUGCAAAGAAAUCUUGAAACUGCAAAGAAAUCUUGGUAAUUUUAUUGCUGAUAUGAAUAGAAUUAUGAGGACCCAAGACUUUCACUGCCAGAGAAAAUAUACACAAAUAUAAACCCAGAAGUUCAUAAAAAUCCCUGUAAUAUCAAAUAUGAUUAUAAAUAUUAAUAUGAACUCAUUUAAAAAUAUUUAAGAACAUUUCCUAGUUUUGUCCAUGGAAAGAACAUAGAAUUAAUGAUGCCCCAACUGGUAAAAAUAAGAUUCCCAGGUAUAUAUGAUCUCACUCACAAAAUUGGCACUCUAUGGCAAAACUGCAAAGCUGGUUAAAUCCAGUGCUGUACCCCUCAGGUGCCUGCACCUAUGAAGAUGGACUUACCUGGAGAAAAACACACCACACUAACUGAAUUCAUCACCCUAACCUGACGUGGGCCUCAGUGAUACCUCACGGUUGAAAUAUAGAUUCUUGGUCCAUUCACUGUGCUACUCUUUGGAUUAUUUCACACUUCUCUUUUCCCCUAUUUCCAAGUCACUUCCUCUAUCCUCACUCUGCCAGUUUUGCUUCCUAAUUCUCUGAGAAGAUGGAAACAAUCAGAAAAGAACUUCCUAGGCUCUCAUCACAUCUACACUAUACAAUCCAAACCAUCACUCACAUGUAGUCUAGCAUCUUUCCUGCUGUUAUAGAACCUCCCUUUCCUCCACAUAGGGAGAACAUCUCAUCCUCUCCCACCUUGCAUAGGGACAUUACGCCAGCAUUCUCCCUCCAUCACCAUUGUCCCUCGCUACUUAAUUAUUCCUAUGAGCAUAUACAUAUGUUAUUUCCCCAUCCUUUAGGAAACUUCUCCUAACCUCACUUUCUCUGCCAGCUACUGCCUUGAUUCUCUGCUUGGCAGAAAAACUCCUCAAAAGAGUUAUCUGUAUGUUCCAUAGGGCCCAUGAAACCACCGUCCAUAUAAAUUUAUGGAAUAUUUUCUCUCUCCAGAAGGUUUCCUCAUGCCCCUCCCUAGUCAACACACCCUCAAAAGGUAAUCACUAUUCUGACUUCCAUCAUUAUUUGUUUUGCCUAAACUACAUAUAAAUGCAUCAUCAGUAUGUACUGUUGUGACUACUUUCACUUAAUAUAAUGUCUGUAAUAUUCAUCUGUUUUGUUGCAAGUAUCAGUAGUUUCUUUUUUAAUUAAAUUACUAUGUAGUAUUCCAUUGAAUAGCCUCUUUUGUGACAGACCUCUUCAGGAAUUUCGCUCAUUUUAAAAAGUUGGAUUAUUGUCAUUUUCUUACUGAUUUAGAGAUGUUGGACGUACGUGUCAUGAAGAUCUCUCAGUCUGUGAUUUGCCUUUUUACCUGCUUAAUUGUGUCUUUUGAUGGGUAUGGUUCUUAAUUUUAAUGAAGUCAGUCUUUUAUGGUUAGUAUUUUUUGUCUUCUAUUUAGGACUGUCUCGAGGAAAUUUUCCUGUUUUACUCUAAAAGCUUUAUUGUUUUACACAUUUAGAACUGUGAUAUAUCUCAAAUUAAAUUUUGUAUACCCUGUUUGGUAGGGGUCAAGUUCCAUUUUGUUCCAUAAAAUAUCCACGUGUUCCAAUACCCCUUAUUGCAAAGCUAUUCAUUCCCUUAUAGACUUGCAUUGAUAUCUGUCAUAAACUGGGUCUUUUUCUGACUAUUCUCUUCCAUUGGUCUAUUUGUAUAUCCUGUGCCAAUCCUACACUGUCUUAACUUCUGUAACUUUGUACUAUGUCUUGAAUUCAAAUACGUUCUUCUCAAGCUUGACUGGGUUCUUCUGGUCCUGAUGUUUUUUGAUACCACAAAGUAAUACAUAUUGAUGCACCCAAUGCAGAUAAGGCCAAUUUUAUGUUAUCAGCAAUCAGUUGAUAGGAAAAAAAAUAUCUAUAUGGUGCUUGAACAAGUAUUUUGAAAAGCCUCAGAUGGCAAAAUCUCACCAAUAGUAUUUUAAGUGUCCAUAGUUCACCUAUUCUCAUUCCUUCAUUCUCCCCAGUCCAAUCAUGUGUGGAAAUGUACCAGUUUUUAAAGUGAGCGUGAAGUUAUUUCUUUAUACCAGGUCCUUAAUGUUCAUUUUGAGAAUAGUGAUAAGAAGUGGAGGGUUAACAAUGAUUAUCUAUGACAAAAGCACAGAAUAAAGGUAUAGGUAACAAACCCCCGGCUUUAUCCCAUGUUUUAUCAUUGACAGCACCAGGAUCUAUUAAUAAUGUAUUGAGAAACUUUACAUCUAUAUCAGUGGUUCUCAACUGGGUGGGGGGUGAUUUUUACUUCCUGGGGGACAUUUGACAACGUCUGGAACAUUCUUUUGGUCACAACUGGGGCAGGAAGUGGGACAGAGAGGAAGGUGCCUCUGACUUCUAGUGGGUCCAGACCUAGAAUGUUGCUCAACACCCUACACUGCACCAGACAGCAAAGGAUUAUCCAGCCGAAGAUGUCAGUCUGCAGAGAUUAAGAAACCCUGAUCUAGAUGGUCACAUCUUUCUCCAAAAGAAAGAUAUUCAGGUCACUUCACAAUCCCCCUGAUUCUCUUGGUUGCGAUACAUAGCCUUUCCCAGCUGAUAUUCCUAAGAAACCAAAGAACUAGGAAGGCGUGAGGGAAGAGACAUUUCUCAGAUCCAUCGAGGAUUGACUUCUGUUUUCCUGCUCAUGGCCACAUGAUCCAAGGCCUCCACUGUUCCUGUGAAACCCACUUCCAUCUCAGGGCCUUGGCCUUGCUGUUCCCUCUGUACUGGACCCUUCUCCUGGGGAGCCACAGACUUCAUGCAGUUCUCUUCGGAAGUGGCCACUCCUCAGACUCCAUCCCUUGCCAUCCUAAUGAAAACACACCCCUUGUUGGUUUCCACUUCCUUAUUCAGUUGUUUUUUUGUCUGUCGUGUCAUACAUCAAUUACCUGACUUGUGUAUUUUUUGUAUCCUCCAGUAGAAUAUCAAACUCCUAGAGGGCAGGUCUUAGUUUUGUAUUUGCCUGUGUCCUCCGUGCCUAGGACAAUUCCUUGCCAUAAAUAGGGGACAAAUAUAAUAGGUCCUACUGUAUUGAAUCAUGUGGAAGCAAUAAACAAAGUCCGUAUCCACCAGAAGCCAAAGGAGAGAUAAAAUGAUUUUCAUGAUGUCCUUAUCCUGUGCCCACAUGCCAUCUUCUACCCUUGGAGUAACAGUUCAGUCACUCCAGCUCACCAAGAUCAACAAGGAGAUUUUAUCAUCAAGAAGUCAGAAUUCAGGUGCUGUCCUCACAGUGCAAUGAAAACCCACUAAGAGCCCAAAUGGCAACUUUAUGGGCACACUGCUUUCAGCCUCCUUCAUUUUGGAACGAGAAACAGUGCCCCUUCUCUUGGGAGCUCCUUAGUGAGCUGUGACUCCCUUCAUGGCUGAGAGAGAGGGGGCUGGAGAACACAGGCUGAUUAGGAUGUCAGCUGGGGCAAAGGGAAUCAAAGGUCCUUCUUGUAAGCGUUUUUUGUAAGCACCAUAACAUCAGUUCAAGCCUCCUACACGGUGACGGGGGAAAAGCCCAAGGCUGAAUGGUUUAUUUUGUUGUCUUUACUUCAAUAAUAAAAUAUCAAGUAUAUUUUAGUGGAGAGUUUCUGAUACACCUUUUAGUAUGUCAGGCUUUUAUCCUGGACUCUAUCCUAACUUGUGAGAAGAUGCUUGAGGCUAGUGCCAAGGGCUGGUGAAGGGAGAGACUAUGUGAUUUUUAUCAUUGUCUGGUGA
Molecule: long non-coding RNA, 3933 nt
Organism: Aethalodelphis obliquidens (Pacific white-sided dolphin)
Lineage: Eukaryota; Metazoa; Chordata; Mammalia; Artiodactyla; Delphinidae
Exons: 3
Source: RefSeq, a predicted model, not a curated record